UAGGGAAUCUUCCGCAAUGGGCGAAAGCCUGACGGAGCAACGCCGCGUGAGUGAUGAAGGUCUUCAGAUCGUAAAACUCUGUUAUUAGGGAAGAACAUAUGUGUAAGUAACUGUGCACAUCUUGACGGUACCUAAUCAGAAAGCCACGGCUAACUACGUGCCAGCAGCCGCGGUAAUACGUAGGUGGCAAGCGUUAUCCGGAAUUAUUGGGCGUAAAGCGCGCGUAGGCGGUUUUUUAAGUCUGAUGUGAAAGCCCACGGCUCAACCGUGGAGGGUCAUUGGAAACUGGAAAACUUGAGUGCAGAAGAGGAAAGUGGAAUUCCAUGUGUAGCGGUGAAAUGCGCAGAGAUAUGGAGGAACACCAGUGGCGAAGGCGACUUUCUGGUCUGUAACUGACGCUGAUGUGCGAAAGCGUGGGGAUCAAACA
RNAcentral lists this ribosomal RNA (427 nucleotides) under uncultured bacterium. Its description in RNAcentral is "partial 16S ribosomal RNA". It matches the Rfam family "Bacterial small subunit ribosomal RNA", at positions 355 to 774 of the family's 1533-position model. The record is from RNAcentral.